ACAGCAUGAAGGGUCUCUCACCCCCUGAGACAAAAGGGCAGCCUGGGGAGGAGAGGAGUCAUGGAGCUUCUGGUUCCUCCUUCGUAAGCUAAGUACAACAUGAGCUUAAAACUCCUCACUCCUGGUUGGCGGUUUGCUUUUUUUGUUGUUGUUGUUUUUGUCUAGGCUCCGCCCCACAGUUACCUGGCAACAGCCAGGUAUGCCUGACUCACUAUGAAAGGGCUGUUUGCCCCCUCUCUCCCUCCCUCCCUCUCUCCCUCUCUCCUCCCUCUCUCCCUCUCUCCUCCUCCCCCCUCUCCCUCUCUUCCCCUCCCCCCUCCCCCUCUCUCCAUUGCCCCCUCUCCCCAUCUCUCUCCACAUGCUCAUGGCCAGCCUCGUCCCCAUGUCCUGCAUGGGCCCGCAGAGCACUCCCUUCCCCCACACCAUACCGCGCCUCCACCAAACCUAUUUCUGGUCUCUCCUAUCUUUUUAUAAAACUCCUCACUCAGGGGUUGGGCUCACGCUACGGUACUACUACGUAACCUGAGGGCGGAAGGAACAGCUUAUACCGGGCAUGCGUUGAACAGACAAGGGUACGAUUCUUCCGCCCUUACGCUGUGCCCGGCACGUGCCCAGACAUGUCACCUGCAGUUCCACAACAAAAACAGAAAAGGACAGGAAUUUGGCACCUGUGGCCUCCUGCACUGUUGUCUUGGAAAUGUGGAGCGCUCGCCUGUGCCCCUGGAAACCACUGGAGAGAAUCGGGCACAGGGACGUCAAGGUCAUAACGUCCUUGCUUCUCAGACACCAACUGUAGGCAUUCUGCGUUCGGCUGCCUGUUUCUGUAGACGGGGCUUUGAAACGUACUUACCGACAACUGUAUCUGGGGCCAGGCCUGGUGAGCGAGCCCUUUGCUAGCCCUGAAGGAGGGCAGGCCUUGUAAGAGGAAUCUAAAUACGCACAAAUUAUCAUGACAACAUGAAAAAUUAGUAUUUGUUCAUUGUUAACUAUGGCCAAAACACUGGGUGAAUCACUUUAAAUUCUUGCCUCUUCCAAACUUCGUGGAAAUGUGUGAUGGUUGUAAAAAUUAGCAUCAUUUUACACAGAGGAAAAAAGGAAAAGACAAGGCCCAGGAAGGGAGCUGGUUCAUCUUGUGGUCAAACAUAUAACAGCCGAGGUGGGCUGAAAGGGGAUCCUGACUUCAGAAUCCACAGCUUUAAACACCAUGAAACACAGCCCCAGGGAGAAGCACAGAGAAGGGACCCACACCACACAUGGGUGCUACAGAAGACCUCCCAGGAGAGCGCAUACCUAUCUGGGGGUGACAGGAUGAGGUUCAAGAGACAGCAAAGCAGGGAAGGAGGGGCCAGGCGUGGGCCCAGUGUAAAGGAGAGAGGCUCCAAGAGGAUACUGUAUCUGAGAGACAGCGAGAGGCUGACAUGGCUGGUCACAGCAUGGAAGGAAGCUAGAGAGGGAUCCGUGGCCAUAGCGGGUAGAGCGGUACUCGUCACACAAGGGAGCUUCGUGGAAACGGUGACAGCGCUGAGGUCCUAACCAGAAGCACGAGAACAAAUGGAAUGCCCUUCUGAGGACUUCAUCCGUGAUCUACAUCGUGCCCACUCUUCCCUCUCCUGCUGCAGCCCCUCUCGUGCCCCACAACUCCCUCUAGAAGUCAAGACCUUCUCUUCCACACAUAUAUGUCGAGAUAAAUACAACCUGCUGGGUCCAGGUAGUGGUUCUCAAACGUCUAUGUGUUUAGGGCUGACCAUUCAGGAUGGGAUAAACUAUGGGAGGCUCCUCUCUGGAAAAGACAGACCUCUCUCUCUCUCUCUCUCUCUCUCUCUCUCUCUCUCUCUCCCUCCCUCCCUCCCUCCCUCCCUCUCUCUCUCUCUCUCUCUCUCUCUCUCUCUCUCUCUCUCUGUGUGUGUGUGUGUGUGUGUGUGUGUGUGUGUGUGAUCGUUAACUGCCUGUAGCUCUCCAUCUAGGGAUGGGGUCUUUCGAGAUUUCCCCCAUCCACGGUCCACAGUGACAUGUCAACUGGUGUUGUCCUUCGGAGGUCCCGUAUGUUGUUAGGAUUUCCUGGGAGCAGCUCCUUGUCCCAGAUAGAAGACUUUGUCUCCCAGCACACGUGUCCUGGGCUUGUGGCUCUUACAAUCUCUCUGCUUCCUGUUCCUCGGGUGCUCCCAGAGCCUUUGGCACAGGAGUUACGCUCUGGAUGUGUUGAUAGGGGAUCGUUUUGACCAGAUAUGGAUUUCUCUGAUGGUCUACAGCAGGAGAUUUCUGAAUGAAAUCCUGGAUGCAGAGGUGGGAGAGAGCUGAACUGGAGGCAGGAAGAACCGCCGGGAGCUCCUGAUAAUAACCCAAGAAAGAGUUCGCAGCCAGAAGUGAGACCAAUAACAGCACCGCACUCCCAGUCACGAGACCCCGGCUGCUGCUGGUGCCAGCCUAGAACUGAGCCUCUUCAGCAAGUUCUGGGACUUGAGGUAGCAGACAGCAGGGGGCACAAAUCAGAGGGUAGUGUGGCUCCAAGAGACUAUGCAGUCAGAUGCCCUGAUGUAAGCCUGCCAACAGCCCAACGGUUGGCAGCACCUAGAGGAUUCAGCACAGUACAACCCUGGGUUCCCUGCACCCAAGAAAGCAGUGUGGUGCAUUACGUGGUCUCCUGAUGCCCACCCCAAGCUACGCAAUCACACAAUCAGUCCACGGUCCCCGCCCUGCCACAGCUCCAGGUCACAUGACUGGAAUCACAGGGAAAGUGGGUGGUGUUGGAUUCCUCAGAUCCUGCCUGCUCGUCUCCUUGUCAGACAAAGGAGGCCAGGAGCUCCCGAGUCUUUCCCUUCUCUGGGUACUGUGAAGGUGGAUGACUAGAGCUCACUUCGUCCUGAGGCUGGAGGCCAUGGUGAGAAGGCAGGAGGGAAAGGCGGUGGACUCCUCCUGCCCCCUAAGACGGGGUCCCAAUCCUCCAAAGCUUAUGCUGGGUCAUACGAACAGGAAAACAAGUGCAGGCAAAGAACUCAGAAGUUUAUGGUUUGUCCCUCCAGAUGGCUAUUUAGAAGUUCACUGACUAGGGUCCAAUGCUAAUUGUAUCCCAAAAGUCAAUUAAAGAACAUAGGCCUCGGAAA
Molecule: long non-coding RNA, 3101 nt
Organism: Rattus norvegicus (Norway rat)
Lineage: Eukaryota; Metazoa; Chordata; Mammalia; Rodentia; Muridae
Source: RefSeq, a predicted model, not a curated record